Exophiala dermatitidis is the source of this 72-nucleotide transfer RNA. It matches the Rfam family "tRNA". From Rfam's summary of the family: Transfer RNA (tRNA) molecules are approximately 80 nucleotides in length. Their secondary structure includes four short double-helical elements and three loops (D, anti-codon, and T loops). The record is from Rfam. Lineage: Eukaryota; Fungi; Ascomycota; Eurotiomycetes; Chaetothyriales; Herpotrichiellaceae.
GGCGGCGUGGCCCAAUGGCAAGGCGCUUGACUACGAAUCAAGAGAUUGCAGGUUCGACCCCUGCCGUCGUCA